GCCGGGGUGGCGGAACUGGCAGACGCGCAGGGCUUAGGACCCUGUGUCCGCAAGGACGUGGGGGUUCAAUUCCUCUCCCCGGCACCA
RNAcentral lists this transfer RNA (87 nucleotides) under bacterium. RNAcentral describes it as "tRNA-Leu". It matches the Rfam family "tRNA". Rfam says of the family: Transfer RNA (tRNA) molecules are approximately 80 nucleotides in length. The record is from RNAcentral.